Hydra vulgaris (swiftwater hydra) is the source of this 676-nucleotide non-coding RNA. Lineage: Eukaryota; Metazoa; Cnidaria; Hydrozoa; Anthoathecata; Hydridae. The record is from RefSeq and is a predicted model, not a curated record.
GGGACUUAUUAGAGACGCAUCAUUACUUAUUUUAUUCAUUUUCAUUUAAUUAAAGAUUUUACAACUAUUUGUGUCAACGUUUAAUGGCAUUAUAUUUAUUUUUGUCAAAACUAUACCCAUGAUUCACAUAUUCAAAAUAUGUUCGGUUUUAUGUCUAAUAACGCUAGUUGUAGCCCAUUUCAAAAUUGGAAAACGAACAUCAUAUGAUGCUAGUUUGUAUAAGAAAAAAAUUUCUUCUGAAUUGUUAGCUUUUCCAAAGGCCCGCGAAGAAAAACUAAGACAAUGCAAAAAAAUGUUAACUAGUGAGACAAACAUGAUGAUUGAAGACGAUGCUAUAAGCAAAUUGAACGAAAGAAUUAUAAAUAGACGUAAUCUAAUACUCGACGAUAACAAUGAACUAAUUAAAGAAAGUUCUUUGGAAAAAACUAUUGAAGAAAUUUGUUCCCAUUUUCUCUUUUCAAAAGAUAACCCAACAAAAAAAAUGAUUUCACUUAUCUACAAAAGUUUAAAAUAAACACAAAAGAGAAUCUCUUUGUGCUUUGUAUGGUUCGUUGUUUACUUUGAUGUUAUUGGUUAUAUAUAUUUUUAAAUUACUAUGACUUCUAUUUUUAACUUGUUAUUUAUUAGUUAUUUUUUAUGUUUUUUAAUCUUAAAGAAAAAUAUUGUUAAAAAAAGA